AUACGAAAGGUGCAAGCGUUGUUCGGAUUUACUGGGCGUAAAGAGAGUGUAGGUGGUUUAUUAAGUCGGAUGUGAAAUCCCGGGGCUCAACCUCGGAACUGCAUUCGAUACUGAUAGGCUAGAGUUUGGGAGGGGUAAGCGGAAUUCCGUGUGUAGCAGUGAAAUGCGUAGAUAUACGGAGGAACACCUGAGGCGAAGGCGGCUUACUGGACCAAUACUGACACUGAGACUCGAAAGCGUGGGUAGCAAACAGGAAUAGAAACCCCAGUAGUCC
RNAcentral lists this ribosomal RNA (274 nucleotides) under uncultured bacterium. RNAcentral describes it as "partial 16S ribosomal RNA". It matches the Rfam family "Bacterial small subunit ribosomal RNA", at positions 523 to 796 of the family's 1533-position model. The record is from RNAcentral.